AUCAGCAGCCAUAUCGCUCUGCAACUCACAACUGGCGACCCACUGAAGCUAAACAGGUUUGAACCUGCUCAGUACCUGGAUGGGAGACCUCCUGGGAAAGUAAAGUUGAUGCUGGAA
RNAcentral lists this ribosomal RNA (117 nucleotides) under Lepisosteus oculatus (spotted gar). The record is from RNAcentral. Lineage: Eukaryota; Metazoa; Chordata; Actinopteri; Semionotiformes; Lepisosteidae.